GACGAACGCUGGCGGCGUGCUUAACACAUGCAAGUCGAACGGUGAAGCGCCUUCCUUUUUGGUGGGUGUGGAUGAGUGGCGAACGGGUGAGUAACACGUGAGUAACCUGCCCCCUUCUUCUGGAUAACCGCAUGAAAGUGUGGCUAAUACGGGAUAUUCUGGGUCUGUCGCAUGAUGGGUCUGGGAAAGAUAUUGUUUCGGUGGGGGAUGGGCUCGCGGCCUAUCAGCUUGUUGGUGGGGUGAUGGCCUACCAAGGCGGUGACGGGUAGCCGGCCUGAGAGGGUGGACGGUCACACUGGGACUGAGACACGGCCCAGACUCCUACGGGAGGCAGCAGUGUGGAAUAUUGCACAAUGUACGCAAGCCUGAUGCAGCGACGCCGCGUGAGGGAUGGAGGCCUUCGGGUUGUGAACCUCUUUCGCCAGUGAAGCAGGCCUGCCUAGUUUGUGGGUGGGUUGACGGUAGCUGGAUAAGAAGCGCCGGCUAACUACGUG
Molecule: ribosomal RNA, 494 nt
Filed under: uncultured bacterium
Lineage: Bacteria
Description: partial 16S ribosomal RNA
Rfam family: Bacterial small subunit ribosomal RNA
Source: RNAcentral